Molecule: long non-coding RNA, 215 nt
Filed under: Elaeis guineensis (African oil palm)
Lineage: Eukaryota; Viridiplantae; Streptophyta; Magnoliopsida; Arecales; Arecaceae
Description: long non-coding RNA (EGUI_LNC058033)
Source: RNAcentral
AGUGGGACAAUAGCUUAACUGCCAUCACACUAUGGCAGAAAAAAAGUCAGAAAAAGUUAUAGAAAAAUGUUGUCGUGAUACUUAGAUCCCCUUUGGACCGAUAUGCAGCACCUUUGGCUUUAUUACUGGAACAAGUUGAACAACUGGUUCCUAUGGUUGAAAGCCCAUAAGUUUGGCCCCAAAACAUUCUAACAUAUCCUGCGCCAUGGAGGAUG